GAUGAACGCUGGUGGCGUGCCUAAUACAUGCAAGUCGAGCGAACAGACGAGGAGCUUGCUCCUCUGACGUUAGCGGCGGACGGGUGAGUAACACGUGGAUAACCUACAUAUAAGACUGGGAUAACUUCGGGAAACCGGAGCUAAUACCGGAUAAUAUAUUGAACCGCAUGGUUCAAUAGUGAAAGACGGUUUUGCUGUCACUUAUAGAUGGAUCCGCGCCGCAUUAGCUAGUUGGUAAGGUAACGGCUUACCAAGGCGACGAUGCGUAGCCGACCUGAGAGGGUGAUCGGCCACACUGGAACUGAGACACGGUCCAGACUCCUACGGGAGGCAGCAGUAGGGAAUCUUCCGCAAUGGGCGAAAGCCUGACGGAGCAACGCCGCGUGAGUGAUGAAGGUCUUCGGAUCGUAAAACUCUGUUAUUAGGGAAGAACAAAUGUGUAAGUAACUAUGCACGUCUUGACGGUACCUAAUCAGAAAGCCACGGCUAACUACGUG
RNAcentral lists this ribosomal RNA (497 nucleotides) under uncultured bacterium. RNAcentral's name for it is "partial 16S ribosomal RNA". It matches the Rfam family "Bacterial small subunit ribosomal RNA", at positions 28 to 507 of the family's 1533-position model. The record is from RNAcentral.